GUAGUCAUAUGCUUGUCUCAAAGAUUAAGCCAUGCAUGUCUAAGUAUAAGCAACUAUACGGUGAAACUGCGAAUGGCUCAUUAAAUCAGUUAUCGUUUAUUUGAUAGUACCUUACUACUUGGAUAACCGUGGUAAUUCUAGAGCUAAUACAUGCUAAAAACCCCGACUUCGGAAGGGGUGUAUUUAUUAGAUAAAAAACCAAUGCUCUUCGGAGCUCCUUGGUGAUUCAUAAUAACUAAACGAAUCGCAUGGCCUUGCGCCGGCGAUGGUUCAUUCAAAUUUCUGCCCUAUCAACUUUCGAUGGUAGGAUAG
This 312-nucleotide ribosomal RNA is filed under the name uncultured fungus. Its description in RNAcentral is "partial large subunit ribosomal RNA". It matches the Rfam family "Eukaryotic small subunit ribosomal RNA", at positions 20 to 336 of the family's 1831-position model. Lineage: Eukaryota; Fungi. The record is from RNAcentral.